Molecule: ribosomal RNA, 497 nt
Filed under: uncultured bacterium
Lineage: Bacteria
Description: partial 16S ribosomal RNA
Rfam family: Bacterial small subunit ribosomal RNA
Source: RNAcentral
GAUGAACGCUGGCGGCGUGCCUAAUACAUGCAAGUCGAGCGAACGGACGAGAAGCUUGCUUCUCUGAUGUUAUCGGCGGACGGGUGAGUAACUCGUGGAUAACCUACCUAUAAGACUGGGAUAACUUCGGGAAACCGUAGCUAAUACCGGAUGAUAUUUUGAACCGCAUGGUUCAAAAGUGAAAGACGGUCUUGCUGUCACUUAUAGAUGCAUCCGCGCUGCAUUAGCUAGUUGGUAAGGUAACGGCUUACCAAGGCAACGAUGCAUAGCCGACCUGAGAGGGUGAUCGGCCACACUGGAACUGAGACACGGUCCAGACUCCUAGGGGAGGCAGCAGUAGGGAAUCUUCCGCGAUGGGCGAAAGCCUGACGGAGCAACGCCGCGUGAGUGAUGAAGGUCUUCGGAUCGUAAAACUCUGUUAUUAGGGAAGAACAUAUGUGUAAGUAACUGUGCACAUCUUGACGGUACCUAAUCAGAAAGCCACGGCUAACUACGUG